CUGGAUGAGAAGGAAAAAUGGAACUACUGACCCUUAGGGAUAGGACUGUUGUUUAAAAAAACUCUUCAGGUGAAAAUUCUCUACUCAUACAUAAGAUGAACGGCCUUAGCAGUUAUUGAAGGCUCCAGUGUUCACAUCAGAGCUAUAAUUCACGUUGUAAUUUGCGACACAGAUUUAAGCAUACAGUGUAUCGUGUGUGCUAUAUUAUGUAGCUUUGCAACGAUGAAGCGAAGAACAGGAAUGUGGAACACUGAAACCUGAGAACCCUAGAUGGGAAAAACUUCACAUAAAGUCCAUAUUAAGCCUCUCCAAUAUUUUCUCCAGUUGCAUUGCCUUAAAAAUAUACAAAGUUAACCACGUAUAUUUUAAAACAUAAAGGCUAAAGGGAACACAUGGCUCAUCUUUUAAAUCAAGGCUGACGAUCCUUGGCAUUCAAGAAGUUAGCUGUCCUCCCUCCCUCCCUCUCUCCCUCCCUCCCCUCCUUCUUUCUCUCCUCUUUCUUUCUUUCUUGCUUUCUUUUUUCUAUAGGGAUCCAACCAAGGCAGC
Molecule: long non-coding RNA, 546 nt
Filed under: Fukomys damarensis (Damara mole-rat)
Lineage: Eukaryota; Metazoa; Chordata; Mammalia; Rodentia; Bathyergidae
Description: lncRNA (ENSFDAG00000032413.1)
Source: RNAcentral